RNAcentral lists this ribosomal RNA (496 nucleotides) under uncultured bacterium. RNAcentral describes it as "partial 16S ribosomal RNA". It matches the Rfam family "Bacterial small subunit ribosomal RNA", at positions 28 to 506 of the family's 1533-position model. The record is from RNAcentral.
GAUGAACGCUGGCGGCGUGCCUAAUACAUGCAAGUCGAGCGAACAGACGAGGAGCUUGCUCCUCUGACGUUAGCGGCGGACGGGUGAGUAACACGUGGAUAACCUACCUAUAAGACUGGGAUAACUUCGGGAAGCCGGAGCUAAUACCGGAUAAUAUAUUGAACCGCAUGGUUCAAUAGUGAAAGACGGUUUUGCUGUCACUUAUAGAUGGAUCCGCGCCGCAUUAGCUAGUUGGUAAGGUAACGGCCUACCAAGGCAACGAUGCGUAGCCGACCUGAGAGGGUGAUCGGCCACACUGGAACUGAGACACGGUCCAGACUCCUACGGGAGGCAGCAGUAGGGAAUCUUCCGCAAUGGGCGAAAGCCUGACGGAGCAACGCCGCGUGAGUGAUGAAGGUCUUCGGAUCGUAAAACUCUGUUAUUAGGGAAGAACAAAUGUGUAAGUAACUAUGCACGUCUUGACGGUACCUAAUCAGAAAGCCACGGCUAACCACGU